RNAcentral lists this ribosomal RNA (452 nucleotides) under uncultured bacterium. Its description in RNAcentral is "bacterial SSU rRNA". It matches the Rfam family "Bacterial small subunit ribosomal RNA", at positions 28 to 507 of the family's 1533-position model. The record is from RNAcentral.
GAUGAACGCUAGCGGAAGGCCUAAUACAUGCAAGUCGAACGAAGCAGCAAUGCUUAGUGGCGCACGGGUGCGUAACGCGUAUGCAACCUACCUUCAUCAGGGGGAUAACAUUUCGAAAGAGGUGCUAAUACCGCAUGAGACUACGCUCUGGCAUCAGAGAGGAGUUAAAUUUGAGGAGGAUGAAGAUGGGCAUGCGUCUGAUUAGCUAGUUGGCGGUGUAACGGACCACCAAGGCAACGAUCAGUAGGGGAACUGAGAGGUCGAUCCCCCACACUGGCACUGAGAUACGGGCCAGACUCCUACGGGAGGCAGCAGUAGGGAAUAUUGGGCAAUGGACGGAAGUCUGACCCAGCCAUUCCGCGUGAAGGAAGAAGGUCUUCGGAUUGUAAACUUCUUUGAUCAGGGACGAAAAAAUGACGGUACCUGAAGAACAAGCCACGGCUAACUACGUG